This 1601-nucleotide ribosomal RNA is filed under the name Lactobacillus sp. RNAcentral describes it as "bacterial SSU rRNA". It matches the Rfam family "Bacterial small subunit ribosomal RNA". Lineage: Bacteria; Bacillati; Bacillota; Bacilli; Lactobacillales; Lactobacillaceae. The record is from RNAcentral.
GCCUGUGUUGCUCUCGUCCGUUCUGGGGCCCCUGGCGUUAUCUUUUUCCUUCUUUCCCCUUUUUUGGGGGGGGGCAGGGUUUUUUUUUUUUUUAGGGUUAGGUCUCUCCGCCCGCACGCGAAGGGACCGGGGGCUAUAACCCAGAUAAGAAAUUUUGUUAUUGGUGGGCCUCCCAAUAUUUCCCUUGGGGGGGGGGGAGUUGGUGAAAACCGGGGGAACCUCCCCCGAAGGGGGGGAUAACCCUGGAAAACAGGUUUUAUACCGCAUAACAAUUGGGCCCGCUGGUCCAAAUUAGAAGAGUGGUUCGGCUUUCCCUUUGGGAGGUCCCGGGGGUUUUAAGUAGAUGGUGGGUAAGGCUCACCCUGGCAAUGAUAGGUAGCCGACCUGGAGAGGUAUUCGCCCACUUGGGACUGAGACCCGGCCCAAAUUCUUACGGGAGGCAGCAGUAGGGAUCUUCCACAAUGGACGAAAGUCUGAUGGAGCAACGCCGCGUGAAUGAAGAAGGGUUUCGGCUCGUAAAAUUCUGUUGUUAAAGAAGAACAUAUCUGAGAGUAACUGUUCAGGUAUUGACGGUAUUUAACCAGAAAGCCACGGCUAACUACGUGCCAGCAGCCGCGGUAAUACGUAGGUGGCAAGCGUUGUCCGGAUUUAUUGGGCGUAAAGCGAGCGCAGGCGGUUUUUUAAGUCUGAUGUGAAAGCCUUCGGCUCAACCGAAGAAGUGCAUCGGAAACUGGGAAACUUGAGUGCAGAAGAGGACAGUGGAACUCCAUGUGUAGCGGUGAAAUGCGUAGAUAUAUGGAAGAACACCAGUGGCGAAGGCGGCUGUCUGGUCUGUAACUGACGCUGAGGCUCGAAAGUAUGGGUAGCAAACAGGAUUAGAUACCCUGGUAGUCCAUACCGUAAACGAUGAAUGCUAAGUGUUGGAGGGUUUCCGCCCUUCAGUGCUGCAGCUAACGCAUUAAGCAUUCCGCCUGGGGAGUACGGCCGCAAGGCUGAAACUCAAAGGAAUUGACGGGGGCCCGCACAAGCGGUGGAGCAUGUGGUUUAAUUCGAAGCUACGCGAAGAACCUUACCAGGUCUUGACAUACUAUGCAAAUCUAAGAGAUUAGACGUUCCCUUCGGGGACAUGGAUACAGGUGGUGCAUGGUUGUCGUCAGCUCGUGUCGUGAGAUGUUGGGUUAAGUCCCGCAACGAGCGCAACCCUUAUUAUCAGUUGCCAGCAUUAAGUUGGGCACUCUGGUGAGACUGCCGGUGACAAACCGGAGGAAGGUGGGGAUGACGUCAAAUCAUCAUGCCCCUUAUGACCUGGGCUACACACGUGCUACAAUGGAUGGUACAACGAGUUGCGAACUCGCGAGAGUAAGCUAAUCUCUUAAAGCCAUUCUCAGUUCGGAUUGUAGGCUGCAACUCGCCUACAUGAAGUCGGAAUCGCUAGUAAUCGCGGAUCAGCAUGCCGCGGUGAAUACGUUCCCGGGCCUUGUACACACCGCCCGUCACACCAUGAGAGUUUGUAACACCCAAAGUCGGUGGGGUAACCUUUUAGGAACCAGCCGCCUAAGGUGGGACAGAUGAUUAGGGUGAAGUCGUAACAAGAGCAGCCU